UGCUCCAAAAGGGUUACAGAAAGGGAGAGGUUUUUAGAGGCAAGACAAUUAAGACAUAAAUAGAAAAAGGAAUUAUUUUGGGUGAGAUCACAUUCCUUUGGGGGAUGGAGAGGGUACAUAUGACAGAUUAGCCCAUUGGUGCUGACCAGAAAAUUCCUAACUUGCUAUAUUUCUGGGGAGGUUGAAACUACAAAUACAUGAAGUAUAAAGUCCUAGUUUGGUGACUUGGCCUAGCAGAAGUGACUCCAUGCUGAGCCUGCAGUUUUCUGUUCAACAUAGACAUCUAAAGGAUUCCUCUGAGUACAGUCUGGUGGGAGAACAGGGACAGGCCAUGUGGAUAUGACUGCAGUGUCAAGGAGAGAUGGGGAUACUGCAGACAAGGCGGUAGCUGCCAGGACACAGUGCCACAUGACCCAGGAAUUUACCCUAAGAACGCAGCAAUCAAGUUUGAGAAAGACAGAUGCACCCCUAUGUUUAUUGCAGCACUAUUUACAAUAGCCAAGAAUUGGAAGCAACCUAAAUGUCCAUCAAUAGAUGAAUGGAUAAAGAAGAUGUGGUACA
This is a long non-coding RNA of Manis pentadactyla (Chinese pangolin), 561 nucleotides long. RefSeq lists it as uncharacterized. NCBI's taxonomy places the organism in Eukaryota, Metazoa, Chordata, Mammalia, Pholidota, Manidae. The transcript is spliced from 3 exons. The record is from RefSeq and is a predicted model, not a curated record.